RNA transcript from Cucurbita moschata (crookneck pumpkin), 2530 nucleotides. It is a transcript of the gene named protein indeterminate-domain 2-like, with no coding region annotated. The record is from RefSeq and is a predicted model, not a curated record. NCBI's taxonomy places the organism in Eukaryota, Viridiplantae, Streptophyta, Magnoliopsida, Cucurbitales, Cucurbitaceae. The transcript has 5 exons.
UCUCUCUCUCUCUAGGCAUUUUGGCCUUUUCUACUCAGUUAAGGGCAAACUCAGAUACCGCCGCCUUAGGCGCACUGGUAUUCCGUCCACCUUCCGGUGCAAUCUACCAUGUAGAUUUCAGUUUUCAUUUGCACAUUCUCUGAGAACUAGUUAGAUUAUACCAAAUGGACUGUAAAUUCAGACGGUCCCAGGGCUUUUAGGUUCAGUUCAUCCUUUCAAUUUUCGUAACAUUCACAAUUCGGACACCGCGUAGUGGUGGAGUGGUAUUCGAGCUGUUGUAUUGAUUAUUCAAUAGAGAGCUGUAUUUUCUGUUGGAAUUGAUUUGGAAUAGUUAGUUUCAUCAACCGACUGUGUGGCUGAACUUUCGGUGAAGCUAAAAGCCUAAAACUAUAUUUUCGUCGGGGUUAUAUGCGAAAUGGUUGAUUUGGAAAAUUCUUCCCCGGUUGAGGUUUCCAGAGAUGCUGGUUUAUCUUCUUCAGGUUAUAUUGAACCAGUGGCGGUGGUGGCUCCGGCGAAGAAGAAACGGAACCUGCCUGGAAUGCCAGAUCCGGCGGCGGAGGUGAUUGCUUUGUCGCCGGAGAGUUUACUGGCGACGAACCGGUUCGUAUGCGAGAUCUGCAACAAAGGUUUCCAGCGGGACCAAAACCUGCAGCUUCACCGGCGAGGCCACAACCUUCCGUGGAAGCUCCGACAGCGGACUAGCAAUGAGGUUCGUAAGCGCGUCUAUGUUUGCCCGGAACCUUCCUGCGUCCACCAUAACCCGGCGAGAGCGCUUGGCGAUCUCACUGGAAUAAAGAAGCAUUUCUGUAGAAAGCACGGCGAGAAGAAAUGGAAGUGCGAGAGAUGCUCGAAGAAAUACGCCGUACAAUCCGAUUGGAAAGCGCACAUGAAAACUUGCGGAACUCGAGAGUACAAAUGCGAUUGCGGCACUUUAUUUUCAAGGAGGGAUAGCUUUAUUACACAUCGAGCCUUUUGCGAUGUAUUGGCGGAGGAAAGUGCUCGUGCUCAAACCCUAGCAGUUCAAAACUCUGAAGGAAAGGAAUCCACCACUUCAAAAGCCGCCGUGACUUCUCCUCCUCCGCCGCCCCUAACACCGUCGACCACGGUGGUUUCUCCGGCGUUAUCGAUUCACAGCUCAGAGCUAGCUGAUAAUCCGAUAAGACUUCCAUCUGUUUCAACGCCUGCAGCGACGACAUGCUUGACCUCCGCGUCUGUCAAUAGUACCACAAAUGCAAGCGCUAACGGCAGUAGCUCAAACAAUGUGUUUGGAAAUUGUACUGUUUUUGCCCCUUCUGCGUCAAUUUCAGGGACGACCCAGAUAUCCCCAACAUUACCACCACCCAGUUUACCCGCGUCAAUAGUACCCUACGAUUGCGCCUCUACUCGCCCUUCUGCUUCCGCAGUUAAUCCCACAUCGCUCUCUCUCUCCACAUCUCUCUAUCUUUCCUCUAAAGGAUCCUCCCUCUUUGCCCCAUCUGACCAAGAUCGUCUGCAGUACACGUGGUCCACUCAACCGGCAGCCAUGUCUGCCACCGCCCUGCUGCAGAAGGCAGCAGAAAUGGGGGCAACAGCGUCUAAUCCGUCGUUGUUUCGUGGCUUUGGGAUGGCCACUUCUUCGACUGGUCAAGAUACCUCUGCCACUAUUCAAUGGAGUAGGAAUUUGAACCGAGAUCAUCGGAAUGGCUCUUCGUUAACGGCUGGUGUAGGGCUUGAUCUCCCAUCCGGACCUGACGGUUCUGGUUUGAUGAUGGCUGGAGGCCCAUUUUGCUCGUUUGGAAGUCAGCCCAUGACGAGAGAUCUUCUUGGUCUUGGCUUAGGCGGUGGUGGGGCCUCUGCAAGUAGAUUCUCGGCUUUGAUUGCUUCCAUGGGUGGUGGGUCUGGUUACCCCGUUGCAGCUUCAGACGCCUGCGGCGGAAGUGGCAAUGGAAGCCCCUCCGGCGACGCUUGGGAUCAAGAUGAAAAGCAUUGAAGGUCGAAACUCAACCGUUGAUUGCUGGCUGGAACUGCUCAUAUUCUUAUAUGGAGGUCAGACUCAAAGCCAUGCAUUCUUUUCUUUUUACUCUCACCAUGUGUAAUUAAUGUAAAUUUUUUCUUGCUCUUCGAGAUUACAUAUGAUUUCGGCCAACACCCUUGAAUGUUUGUAAUCGGAGCUAGCUCCAAUUAAAGAGUUGAAAUUUUGAAAAGGUAACUUUCCCGAGAUUGUCUCUGUGGAAGGUGACAUCGGGGCUUCAAUUGCGGUGAGGUUUUCAACAAAUUGGUACUUGAACAUUAAUGUUCAUAAUGGUUCUGUUCAUUUGACUUGUCGAUUCCCGGUGGUCCAAGUUCCGAUCUGGUCCAUUGGUCAGACCGUCAAACUAUAUUUAAUGAGAUGAGUUGGCUGAGGUGGUCCUCCACCGACUCCUCGCCUCAUAGGUCCGUCCAUCUCCACGGUGGUUGCCGCCCCAUCCGUCGCCCGCCGAACUGUCACUGUUUGUGUAUGUCACAGUGACCUAACUGGGUAGUUACAAAACCCAUCCGUAUGGUUUGAAAA